Molecule: ribosomal RNA, 497 nt
Filed under: uncultured bacterium
Lineage: Bacteria
Description: partial 16S ribosomal RNA
Rfam family: Bacterial small subunit ribosomal RNA
Source: RNAcentral
GACGAACGCUGGCGGCGUGCCUAAUACAUGCAAGUUGAGCGCUGAAGGUUGGUACUUGUACCAACUGGAUGAGCAGCGAACGGGUGAGUAACGCGUGGGGAAUCUGCCUUUGAGCGGGGGACAACAUUUGGAAACGAAUGCUAAUACCGCAUAAAAACUUUAAACACAAGUUUUAAGUUUGAAAGAUGCAAUUGCAUCACUCAAAGAUGAUCCCGCGUUGUAUUAGCUAGUUGGUGAGGUAAAGGCUCACCAAGGCGAUGAUACAUAGCCGACCUGAGAGGGUGAGCGGACACAUUGGGACUGAGACACGGCCCAAACUCCUACGGGAGGCAGCAGUAGGGAAUCUUCGGCAAUGGACGAAAGUCUGACCGAGCAACGCCGCGUGAGUGAAGAAGGUUUUCGGAUCGUAAAACUCUGUUGGUAGAGAAGAACGUUGGUGAGAGUGGAAAGCUCAUCAAGUGACGGUAACUACCCAGAAAGGGACGGCUAACUACGUG